Lophium mytilinum is the source of this 138-nucleotide non-coding RNA. The record is from the annotation of a GenBank genome assembly. NCBI's taxonomy places the organism in Eukaryota, Fungi, Ascomycota, Dothideomycetes, Mytilinidiales, Mytilinidiaceae.
GCUCGGAUGGUGUAGUUGGUUAUCACGUCAGUCGUAGGUUAUCCCAGUUCCAAACCGCAUUCGAGGUUUUCAAUACUAAUACCAAAGCAGUAACAUUAGUUGCACUGAAGGUCCUGAGUUCAAACCUCAGUCCGAGUA